This 961-nucleotide ribosomal RNA is filed under the name uncultured organism. RNAcentral describes it as "bacterial SSU rRNA". It matches the Rfam family "Bacterial small subunit ribosomal RNA", at positions 470 to 1429 of the family's 1533-position model. The record is from RNAcentral.
UGACGGUACCCUACUAGAAAGGAGCCGCUAACUUCGUGCCAGAAGCGUCGGUAAUACGGGGGCUCCAAGCGUUAUCCGGUGUUAUUGGGCGUACAGAGUCGUGUAGGUGGUUGGGUAAGUUAUCUUUCACAUAUCUUUGCUUAACAAAGAGGAGGGGGAUAAUACUGCUCGACUAGAAUUUUCUCAAGGGAGAUCGGAACUGAGGGAGGAGUAGUGAAAUGCGUUGAUACCCUCGGGAACACCAGUGGCGUAGGCGGAUCUCUGGGAGAAGAUUGACACUGAGACACGAAAGCUAGGGGAGCGAAGCAGAUUAGAGACCUGCGUAGUCCUAGCCGUAAACGCAUGCUUGCUAGCUGCAUGAAUCUACCUUCGGGUGGUAUCGUGUGGCGAAGGUAACCCGUUAAGCAAGCCGCCUGGAAAGUACGGCCGCAAGGCUGAAAUUCGAAGGAAUUGGCGGGGAGGCACACAACCAGUGGAACAUGUGGUUUAAUUCGAGACUAACCGAAGAACCUCACCAGGGUUUGACAUGUAGCUGCACGUCUUAAGAAAUUAAGACUCUCUUGAAGGUGCUACACAGGUGCUGCAUGGCUGUCGUCAGCUCGUUCCGUGAGGAGUGCCCUUAAGUGGGACAACGAGCGCAACCCCUAUUACAUGUUAGAAAUGUCAUGUAAGACUGCCUUGCCAUUUGGCGGGGAGGAAGGAGGGGCAGACGUCAAGUCCGCAUGGUCCUUAUGCCCUGGGCUACACACAUGUUACAAUGAGUACGGCAAUGAGUCUGUCGCGAGCACGUAAGUGUAAGCUAAUCUCUUAAAUGUACUCUCAGUGGGGAUUGAGGUCUGCAACUCGACCUCAUGAACACGGAAUUGGUAGUAAUCGCGGGUCAGCUAUACCGCGGUGAUACGUUCUUGCCUCUUGCACACACCGCCCGUCAAACCAGCAAAGUCGAUUGUAUCCGAACCUC